Molecule: unclassified non-coding RNA, 705 nt
Filed under: Hevea brasiliensis (rubber tree)
Lineage: Eukaryota; Viridiplantae; Streptophyta; Magnoliopsida; Malpighiales; Euphorbiaceae
Source: RNAcentral
GUUAUUUAAUAUUAUUAAUAUGGAAGAUUUAAAUUACAAAAUAAGGCAUGUCUCAAUUUACUGGUCUAUUUACGGCUCUGAUUACUGGUGGAAAACUUCCAUCUGUGGCGACGCAAGCAAGUUAGCAGUAGCAGUUGUUUGUAUAUGCAGAGUUCAUAUUGCCAUAACUGCAAGUUCGGAUUCAUGCUAUAAUCUCUCUGAUUAGCUAAACCCAGUGAGCUAACCAGGUAAGCCACCUCAGUUACCAGCACUGGUCCGUUUCCCAAUUCCGGCCACGAUACCUCGGAAAACUGGAGGUCAACGGCCCGUUCCUUCUGAAAAACUUGCGAUCAUAAACGGCGCGUUUCUCUGGAUCCGAUAGAGUGGAGUACGCAGCAUGAAUUUUCAUGAACUCGUCCGCCGACGUGUCCUUCCGAUCCAAAGCGACGUCGGGAUGGCAUGUCCUCGCCAAUCGCCGGUAAGCUGACUUGAUAUCGUGGCUUGUGGCUCCCACAGGAAUCCCCAGAAUCUCGUACAGCGAUUUGCACGAUGCCAUCCGUGGAGGACUUGGGUAAAGAUUGGACCUUUCCUCAUAGGCGUUGGCGGUGUUAGCAAUAAACGGCCGCCGGAAUCUGUUCCGUUGAGGCGCAGGGUACGGAGAUUUGAUGGAAAUUUUGGGAAGAGGAGAGAGAGGGGCAGAAGAAAGCAUUGCUCGUUGCAGCGCGG